This 75-nucleotide transfer RNA is filed under the name Deltaproteobacteria bacterium. RNAcentral's name for it is "tRNA-Gln". It matches the Rfam family "tRNA". From Rfam's summary of the family: Transfer RNA (tRNA) molecules are approximately 80 nucleotides in length. Their secondary structure includes four short double-helical elements and three loops (D, anti-codon, and T loops). Further hydrogen bonds mediate the characteristic L-shaped molecular structure. tRNAs have two regions of fundamental functional importance: the anti-codon, which is responsible for specific mRNA codon recognition, and the 3' end, to which the tRNAs corresponding amino acid is attached (by aminoacyl-tRNA synthetases). tRNAs cope with the degeneracy of the genetic code in two manners: having more than one tRNA (with a specific anti-codon) for a particular amino acid; and 'wobble' base-pairing, i.e. permitting non-standard base-pairing at the 3rd anti-codon position. Lineage: Bacteria; Pseudomonadati; Myxococcota; Myxococcia. The record is from RNAcentral. RNAcentral also lists the same sequence under 4 other names.
UGGGGCGUCGUCAAGCGGUAAGACACAGGACUUUGAUUCCUGCAUCCGGAGGUUCGAAUCCUCCCGCCCCAACCA